GUUAAUCUGUAGGACUGACCAAUAUGUAUGUUAAUUAUUGAUGUAGUCUUUCAAGUUGCAGCCUUGAAAACAUUGAUCAUUGAGUAUUAAUGUCAAAAGCUAAACUUAUAUACUAACCUAAAUUCUUCAUGAGUGCACUUAAUGAAAAAAUGGCCUCAUAUUACAAGCAUUUAUGUGAAUGCACUCUAGCCUCUUACCAUUAGGCCACUUUUAUUGAGUUUCUGGUACUAUAGCUUUUAAGGUCAUAAACAGUUGGGACUUGGGAGUUGAAUGAAUGAAAAAAUAAAAUUUGAACAAAUGCAAUAUACUGCUUGAAACAGGAUAGCAAGAAUGAUUACAGAAAAUGGAGAAGGCAAUGAAAAUUUUCAUGCCAUUGAUAUAGUUCUGAUAGCAGUGACCACAAUUAUGGAGGUGCAACAUAAUGGAGGAAAUAAUUUUUAUAGCUGUAUGGUAACCUCUAUGACUGAGCUGGCAGUGGUAGUGAUAGUAUUAUAAGCUGUUCUGCAGAAAGCGAUUUACACAGGAACUAGUGCAGAAACCAAUGUUCUUGGGUUUUAAGUUCAAUUACUAGUUUGUUUCUGAGUACUGGGUUUUUGGCUUACAUGUUGUGUCUGAAAGGCAUUGUUCAUGUUAUCUCUUCCCAUAUCCCCUGCGUUUAAUGGUAUGCUUAAAUAGAGAUUAUGUUUAUACAUGGCAUGGUCAGACUAU
Molecule: unclassified non-coding RNA, 708 nt
Filed under: Hevea brasiliensis (rubber tree)
Lineage: Eukaryota; Viridiplantae; Streptophyta; Magnoliopsida; Malpighiales; Euphorbiaceae
Source: RNAcentral